CCUACGGGGGGCUGCAGUGAGGAAUAUUGGUCAAUGGGCUUACGCCUGAACCAGCCAAGUCGCGUGAGGGAAGACUGCCCUAUGGGUUGUAAACCUCUUUUGUCAGGGAGCAAUUGGCGCUACGUGUAGCGUUAUCGCGAGUAACUGAAGAAAAAGCAUCGGCUAACUCCGUGCCAGCAGCCGCGGUAAUACGGAGGAUGCGAGCGUUAUCCGGAUUUAUUGGGGUUAAAGGGUGCGUAGGCGGAAUGCCAAGUCAGCGGUAAAAUCGCGGGGCUCAACCUCGCUCCGCCGUUGAAACUGGCGUGCUUGAGUGGGCGAGAAGCAUGCGGAAUGCGUGGUGUAGCGGUGAAAUGCAUAGAUAUCACGCAGAACUCCGAUUGCGAAGGCAGCAUGCCGGCGCCCAACUGACGCUGAAGCACGAAAGCGUGGGGAUCGAACAGGAUUAGAUACCCUGGUAGUC
This 460-nucleotide ribosomal RNA is filed under the name uncultured bacterium. RNAcentral's name for it is "partial 16S ribosomal RNA". It matches the Rfam family "Bacterial small subunit ribosomal RNA", at positions 338 to 795 of the family's 1533-position model. The record is from RNAcentral.